Molecule: transfer RNA, 70 nt
Filed under: Misgurnus nikolskyi
Lineage: Eukaryota; Metazoa; Chordata; Actinopteri; Cypriniformes; Cobitidae
Description: tRNA-Trp
Rfam family: tRNA
About the family: Transfer RNA (tRNA) molecules are approximately 80 nucleotides in length. Their secondary structure includes four short double-helical elements and three loops (D, anti-codon, and T loops).
Source: RNAcentral
AGGGACUUAGGAUAACAUAGACCAAGGGCCUUCAAAGCCCUAAGUAGGAGUUAAAAUCUCCUAGUCCCUG